Molecule: transfer RNA, 76 nt
Filed under: Bacteroidales bacterium
Lineage: Bacteria; Pseudomonadati; Bacteroidota; Bacteroidia; Bacteroidales
Description: tRNA-Gly
Rfam family: tRNA
About the family: Transfer RNA (tRNA) molecules are approximately 80 nucleotides in length. Their secondary structure includes four short double-helical elements and three loops (D, anti-codon, and T loops). Further hydrogen bonds mediate the characteristic L-shaped molecular structure. tRNAs have two regions of fundamental functional importance: the anti-codon, which is responsible for specific mRNA codon recognition, and the 3' end, to which the tRNAs corresponding amino acid is attached (by aminoacyl-tRNA synthetases). tRNAs cope with the degeneracy of the genetic code in two manners: having more than one tRNA (with a specific anti-codon) for a particular amino acid; and 'wobble' base-pairing, i.e. permitting non-standard base-pairing at the 3rd anti-codon position.
Source: RNAcentral
GCGGAAGUAGCUCAUUUGGUAGAGCGACAGCCUUCCAAGCUGUAGGUAGCGGGUUCGAGACCCGUCUUCCGCUCCA